AUUGAACGCUGGCGGCAGGCUUAACACAUGCAAGUCGAGCGGGGGAAGGUAGCUUGCUACCGGACCUAGCGGCGGACGGGUGAGUAAUGCUUAGGAAUCUGCCUAUUAGUGGGGGACAACAUCUCGAAAGGGAUGCUAAUACCGCAUACGUCCUACGGGAGAAAGCAGGGGAUCUUCGGACCUUGCGCUAAUAGAUGAGCCUAAGUCGGAUUAGCUAGUUGGUGGGGUAAAGGCCUACCAAGGCGACGAUCUGUAGCGGGUCUGAGAGGAUGAGCCGCCACACUGGGACUGAGACACGGCACAGACUCCUACGGGAGGCAGCAGUGGGGAAUAUUGGACAAUGGGGGGAACCCUGAUCCAGCCAUGCCGCGUGUGUGAAGAAGGCCUUAUGGUUGUAAAGCACUUUAAGCGAGGAGGAGGCUACUUUAGUUAAUACCUAGAGAUAGUGGACGUUACUCGCAGAAUAAGCACCGGCUAACUCUGUGCCAGCCGCCGCCGUAA
RNAcentral lists this ribosomal RNA (501 nucleotides) under uncultured bacterium. RNAcentral describes it as "partial 16S ribosomal RNA". It matches the Rfam family "Bacterial small subunit ribosomal RNA", at positions 30 to 523 of the family's 1533-position model. The record is from RNAcentral.